This 497-nucleotide ribosomal RNA is filed under the name uncultured bacterium. Its description in RNAcentral is "partial 16S ribosomal RNA". It matches the Rfam family "Bacterial small subunit ribosomal RNA", at positions 28 to 507 of the family's 1533-position model. The record is from RNAcentral.
GAUGAACGCUGGCGGCGUGCCUAAUACAUGCAAGUCGAGCGAACAGAUGAGGAGCUUGCUCCUCUGACGUUAGCGGCGGACGGGUGAGUAACACGUGGAUAACCUACCUAUAAGACUGGGAUAACUUCGGGAAACCGGAGCUACUACCGGAUCAUAUAUUGAACCGCAUGGUUCAAUAGUGAAAGACGGUUUUGCUGUCACUUAUAGAUGGAUCCGCGCCGCAUUAGCUAGUUGGUAAGGUAACGGCUUACCAAGGCAACGAUGCGUAGCCGACCUGAGAGGGUGAUCGGCCACACUGGAACUGAGACACGGUCCAGACUCCUACGGGAGGCAGCAGUAGGGAAUCUUCCGCAAAGGGCGAAAGCCUGACGGAGCAACGCCGCGUGAGUGAUGAAGGUCUUCGGAUCGUAAAACUCUGUUAUUAGGGAAGAACAAAUGUGUAAGUAAAUAUGCACGUCUUGACGGUACCUAAUCAGAAAGCCACGGCUAACUACGUG